GACCACUGAACUCAUAAGCCGUACAGACAGUGAGCACACGUCCACCGCUGAUGAGUGGGUCCAGCAGGGCCCCAAUCUUCCUCCUCUUUUCCCCCUCUCAUCCACCUCCACCUCCUCCUCCACCUCUUCCCAUUUUACCUCCUCAGGAGGAUCCAGAAGAUUAUUUUGCUGAUGAUGAAGAAG
Long non-coding RNA from Sinocyclocheilus grahami, 183 nucleotides. RefSeq lists it as uncharacterized. The record is from RefSeq and is a predicted model, not a curated record. The transcript has 3 exons. Lineage: Eukaryota; Metazoa; Chordata; Actinopteri; Cypriniformes; Cyprinidae.